CCCGGGUCGGUGAGGCGGGCCGCACGUGUGUUCCUCGGUUUCCUCGGUUCGCGAUGGUGGACGGGCCUUCUAGGGCGUGAUGGCGGUAAGGGCCGCCCUUCUGGUGACUGCCGUGACGCUUCUCACACCCGCAAGAGCCAACCCCGACGCCAAGAGGCUCUACGAUGAUCUCCUCUCCAACUACAACAGGCUUAUCAGACCCGUCAGCAACAAUACAGACACGGUCCUGGUCAAGCUCGGCCUGCGGCUCAGCCAGCUGAUAGAUCUGAACUUGAAAGACCAGAUUCUAACAACCAAUGUUUGGCUGGAACAUGAGUGGCAGGAUCACAAGUUCCGGUGGGACCCGGCGGAGUACGGCGGUGUCACGGAGCUCUACGUGCCCUCUGAACAUAUCUGGUUGCCGGACAUUGUGCUGUACAACAAUGCUGACGGCGAGUACGUAGUGACAACUAUGACCAAGGCUGUUCUACACCACACCGGCAAGGUACUCUGGACUCCACCCGCCAUCUUCAAGUCAUCCUGCGAGAUAGACGUGCGGUACUUCCCCUUCGACCAGCAGACCUGCUUCAUGAAGUUCGGCUCCUGGAGCUAUGACGGUGACCAGAUCGACUUGAAACAUAUCAAUCAAAAGCUGGGAGAGGACAAGGUAGAAGUCGGUAUCGAUCUGAGGGAAUACUACCCAAGUGUGGAAUGGGAUAUCUUGGGCGUGCCGGCAGAGAGGCAUGAGAAGUACUAUCCUUGCUGCAAUGAGCCGUAUCCAGAUAUUUUCUUCAACAUAACACUGCGCAGAAAGACUCUCUUCUAUACGGUAAAUCUGAUAGUUCCCUGUGUGGGGAUCUCGUACCUCUCGGUGCUAGUCUUCUACCUGCCGGCCGACUCCGGGGAGAAGAUCGCUCUCUGCAUCACCAUCCUCCUCUCGCAGACCAUGUUCUUCCUGCUGAUCUCAGAGAUCAUCCCUUCCACCUCGCUCGCACUGCCGUUGCUGGGCAAGUACCUGCUCUUCACCAUGCUGCUGGUGGGGCUCUGCGUCGUCAUCACCAUCAUGGUGCUCAACGUCCACUACAGGAAGCCGAGCACUCACAAGAUGGCGUCUUGGGUGAAGAAGAUCUUCAUCCGGAAGUUACCCAAACUUUUGCUCAUGCGUGUGCCUGACCAGCUUCUCGCUGAUCUGGCGCACAACAAGCGCGUCCAUCGCGACAACAAGAGGUCAAGGUUAAACGCUGCCAUUGCCGCCGCCAACUCCUCAGGGGCCUCGUCUCCUGACUCACUUAGACACUUCCCGCCCAGACCGGGGGGCUGCAACGGUCUCCAUACUUCGUCCGCGACCAACAGGUUCAGCGGACUUAUAGGAGCCCUGGGUGGACCGGGGUACAACGGACUGCCGUCCAUGGUCGGUCUGGACGACAGCAUCAGCGAUGUCGCCAUCAGGAAGAAGUACCCCUUCGAGUUGGAGAAGGCCAUCCAUAACGUGAAGUUCAUCCAGCAUCACAUGCAGAGACAGGACGAAUUUGACGCGGAGGACCAAGACUGGGGAUUUGUUGCGAUGGUCCUGGACCGCCUCUUCCUCUGGAUCUUCACGAUCGCUUCUUUCUUAGGCACGAUUCUAAUCCUGUGCGAGGCUCCCGCGCUGUACGAUGACACCCAACCCAUAGACGUCGAGAUCUCUCGAGUCUAUCGCAGGCAAUAUUUGCCCGAACUGGAUAUAAACUCCAAACUAUAAACGUAAAGUGUAGUGAUUCUGUCCACAAAACGUUGCAAAAUAACUGUUAAAAGUGUCCUAAAAACAAUAUUUUAUAUGAAUAAAGUUCUUUUACGGUUGUUAAAUAAUAAUAUGCUACUCGGUAAAACUAAAAUGCCAAGACGAGGAAGCGUGCCAAGCUCAGCUGUAAAACAAGUCGGUAGUUAAGGAAGACCAAGAUUGGGGCUUCGUCGCAAUGGUCUUGGACCGCCUCUUCCUGUGGAUCUUCACUAUCGCCUCCAUCGUGGGUACUUUCACGAUCCUCACAGAAGCCCCUUCCCUGUACGAUGACACUCAGCCUAUCGAC
Molecule: unclassified non-coding RNA, 2045 nt
Filed under: Homalodisca vitripennis (glassy-winged sharpshooter)
Lineage: Eukaryota; Metazoa; Arthropoda; Insecta; Hemiptera; Cicadellidae
Description: acetylcholine receptor subunit alpha-L1, transcript variant X3
Source: RNAcentral